Molecule: ribosomal RNA, 484 nt
Filed under: uncultured bacterium
Lineage: Bacteria
Description: partial 16S ribosomal RNA
Rfam family: Bacterial small subunit ribosomal RNA
Source: RNAcentral
AUUGAACGCUGGCGGCAGGCCUAACACAUGCAAGUCGAGCGGAUGAAGGGAGCUUGCUCCUGGAUUCAGCGGCGGACGGGUGAGUAAUGCCUGGGAAUCUGCCUGGUAGUGGGGGAUAACGUCCGGAAACGGGCGCUAAUACCGCAUACGUCCUGAGGGAGAAAGUGGGGGAUCUUCGGACCUCACGCUAUCAGAUGAGCCUAGGUCGGAUUAGCUAGUUGGUGGGGUAAAGGCCUACCAAGGCGACGAUCCGUAACUGGUCUGAGAGGAUGAUCAGUCACACUGGAACUGAGACACGGUCCAGACUCCUACGGGAGGCAGCAGUGGGGAAUAUUGGACAAUGGGCGAAAGCCUGAUCCAGCCAUGCCGCGUGUGUGAAGAAGGUCUUCGGAUUGUAAAGCACUUUAAGUUGGGAGGAAGGGCAGUAAGUUAAUACCUUGCUGUUUUGACGUUACCAACAGAAUAAGCACCGGCUAACUUCGCG